GGUACUGUCAGAGUACUGUUUCGUGCAAACUUGCUUACUGAAAUCCUCUGCAUUGAAGGGUAUAGGUUAGAUGUGCACCCCGUUGAUUGUUGGCGAGAUGUGACAUCGGUUCAGAGACAUUGAAUAUCUAAGGCAAAGUUCAGUCAAUGACUAAAUUAUCAGUAUGAAGAAUUAAUAUGAAAGAAGAAGAGUCUUCAAAGUGUUUUUGAAUGUUAUGCAGCUGAAGCAAUGUUUGUCUAUUAUUCAUGUGAACAUUUUGAAAUAAGCAGGUUAUUCCCGAUUUCUUCCAACUUCCUGUGAGUAUCACUUAUUAACUUUGAGUUAACUUCACUUAAUGAGUGAUGGACACAACCUCCCUCAUCUACUCCUCUGUGACCACAUGAACUCCCCCUCAGGUUAUAGCCGACACAGAGUUACAUAACCCGGACGAGGGCUACCAGAGGGACCUGUUUCGGAGGGUUGAUUGCGAUAGCAGACAAACUUCAAUCAGAAAGAGCAAUAAACAGCCUCUGCCAGGGGCCACGAAGGAGUGGGAUGGUUAGAGAGAGAGGGGGAGGGCUGGGAGAGAGAAAGGACCGCGGGAGACGAGUGCGAUCCGCGAUGGCGAAACCCCGUGAGUUUGCGAUGCCAAAUCCCAGAGCUAUGGACUCCUUUGAUUGGUAACCUAGGGGAAUAUUUUAAUGAGCCUCCCUUCCUCCCAACACAAGUCAAUAGUUAAUGUUGUGUUGCUACUUGAGCUCCUAUCUUACUGUGGGUGCACUCUCAGGGCUGGCUGGAUUCAAUCUGUAUUGUGGAAAAAACCCAUGUUAUAGCUCUAUAAAAAUUUGAAGGCAAUGUUCCCUGCAUUUAUGGUAAACGCUGCAUAUGUCAGCGCAAUCGGAAAUUACAUUUACAUUUUAAAGCAGAUCUUCUGCGAUAUUUAUGCGAUACGGAUAGAAUCCAACCUUUAACCUGUGAGAUAGCAGCUUUAAAGUAUAAAUCUGUUGACAUUGUGAUUUUGUCAUUAAGGUAUCUAUAUUUGAAUGCACACUUGUCGAUUAUGGUCUUGGGCACGACUGCACUACAAGCAAGCAAUGAAAGUAUAUUUCUAAGAA
Long non-coding RNA from Oncorhynchus keta (chum salmon), 1094 nucleotides. RefSeq lists it as uncharacterized. Lineage: Eukaryota; Metazoa; Chordata; Actinopteri; Salmoniformes; Salmonidae. The record is from RefSeq and is a predicted model, not a curated record. The transcript is spliced from 2 exons.